Molecule: long non-coding RNA, 1667 nt
Organism: Triticum aestivum (bread wheat)
Lineage: Eukaryota; Viridiplantae; Streptophyta; Magnoliopsida; Poales; Poaceae
Exons: 2
Source: RefSeq, a predicted model, not a curated record
CGGGCGGCAACGUAUGUGGAGUCGCCGUUAACGGCGGGCGAAAUGAAUGCAUCCCCAUCUACCAGCUUCAGCCCCUGUUUUCAGCGAAAGGGGAUCGAGCCGAGUAAAAAUUAGAGCCGGAGGGCGGCGUCGGUGGCGGCUACGUCGGCGACAUUCUCGCACACCGAUUCCCUGCUCGCGUCGUCGGACGUGGUCUCCGAUUAGUGGUGGCGCGGACGUGGCGAUGGAUUUUCCCGUAGCUCCGAUGGACAGGUUGCCCAUAUUCCCGGAUGAGGCAUCUAGCGCGGAGGCCCUAAUUGAAUUGAUUGAUGGGGCUGGUCGUGCGAAAAGGAAUUAGCCAACGGAUCUCGCCGGGCGGUGGUCGGAGGAUUUGGGCGCAGCUCAGCUGGGCAGUUCGGGGGUGGUGCCAUGUGCGGCGAGGAAACAAGUGUGGCUGCCGGCAGCUCUGCCGUGUAAACGCAGAUGCCGUUGACCAGGGCGGCGUUGAAACACAUUUUGAUUGAGAUCAGGGCGCUGUGAUUUAAGAUCGAACAGGAAGUGGCGAUGGAGGCUCUGCGCAAUCGACUGGCAAGGUGGAUCCCCAAGCCUCUGGAUGGACUAAGAGGUAAUUGGAAUUUUGUGUAGAACUGCAUUCUGUAUCUUGCAACCGUAGUUGGAAUGAUGCCCUGUUUAUUUUACACCCUCCGUUCCUAAAUAUUUGUCUUUAUAGAGAUUUUAACAAGUGACUACAUACGGAACAAAAUAAAUGAAUCUACAUUCUAAAAUAUGUCUAUAUACAUCUGUAUAUGGUAGUCCAUUUGAAUCACUAAAAAGACAAAUGUUUAGGAAUGGAGGAAGUAGUUUGUUAUGCUGGCGAGUGAAUUGUCAGUUUGAUAAAAUCAUUAUUUGGGGACUUCUUGCUGACGGCGGAGAGAGCUGCGGCCCUGAGGCCUUCUGUUGGUGGCCGGGCAUCGAGCAUGACCAAGCUAGCAAUGUUGCCAAGAGAAAGAAGAUGGCUACAUCCAUUAGCUGGUCAAGCUCCGGUGUCCUCACGUCAGGCUUGGCUUUGAGUGCUGACAGCAAAGCAUUCUACAUGGUAUGCACCCAGGUCCGCUUCAUCUGCUGGGAUAUAUCUAGGUUUGGACCUAUUGCAAAUUGCUGAUCUUCAAUAUGCUGCAUUAAUACCGGGAGGGAUCAGUUGAUGGUGUCUUCAGCCAAAUUGCUGAUCUAUCCGAUGACAACGGGGAAGCUGCAGCCGACUCCAGAGAGGACGAUGACCACAACAUAGAGCCAUAGAGGUUGUGGCAGAGCUUGAUCCCAAUGCCAACCAUCUGCUUGGCGAGGCGGAGCAGCCUGUUCUGUAAGAAUAUGACGAGUUUGUGAUGGUUUGGAAAACUGACGAAGAUUCAGAGGGUAAAGAAGAAGUGGCAAGCCACGAGCGUCCUCGCCUGUGCUAGACGCUAAAUCGAGUCAAUGGACCAGUUGACUAGAACUAGAAAUUAAGUGCGUGUAUUUUGUGUUUACGCCUCCGUGUAUUUUGCUGGAAUCUUAGUGUGUGUCCAUUGCUGGGAGGAACUGUCUCUAAAUUAGUUGUUAUUUUUUUUGAGAAGAGAUUAGUUGUUAUUAUUGUAGAGUAGUAGCCGACGUGAGUGUGGACUAAUGUUUAAUUAUAUGAGAUUACCCCAAAA